RNAcentral lists this ribosomal RNA (253 nucleotides) under uncultured bacterium. RNAcentral's name for it is "partial 16S ribosomal RNA". It matches the Rfam family "Bacterial small subunit ribosomal RNA", at positions 524 to 776 of the family's 1533-position model. The record is from RNAcentral.
UACAGAGGGGCCAAGCGUUACGCGGAAUCACUGGACUUAAAGCGUGUGUAGGCGGACUUGUAAGUAUCUUAUGAAAUCCCACGGCUCACCCGUGGAACUGCUGGAUAUACUGCGAGUCUUGAGCCACUUAGGGGCUACCGGAACAAAUGGUGGAGCGGUGAAAUGCGUAGAUAUCAUUUGGAACGCCAAUGGUGAAAACAGGUAGCUGGGAGUGUGCUGACGCUGAGACACGAAAGCCAGGGGAGCGAACGGG